RNAcentral lists this transfer RNA (72 nucleotides) under Camelus ferus (Wild Bactrian camel). It matches the Rfam family "tRNA". From Rfam's summary of the family: Transfer RNA (tRNA) molecules are approximately 80 nucleotides in length. Their secondary structure includes four short double-helical elements and three loops (D, anti-codon, and T loops). Lineage: Eukaryota; Metazoa; Chordata; Mammalia; Artiodactyla; Camelidae. The record is from Rfam by way of RNAcentral.
GGCAAUACAGCUCAGUGGUAGAGCACACGCUUAGCAUGCGCGAGGUCCUGGGUUCAAUCCCCAGCAUCUCCC